Drosophila melanogaster (fruit fly) is the source of this 919-nucleotide non-coding RNA. The record is from Ensembl. Lineage: Eukaryota; Metazoa; Arthropoda; Insecta; Diptera; Drosophilidae.
AUAACAUAGUUUUAGAGGAUUUCUUCGAAUGUACUUACAACUGCUCAACGAGUUGGCUUAACUCCUUCGCUCCAAACUCAUCGCAUCGACUUAUAUGCUGCUCCAGCCACAUCAUGGCAUUCGCAAUCGGUGGAAAGUUGUUGGCCAAAGGUAAAGCGGCCAAGCCACGUAUUUCGUAGCCCAGCAGGACCUCCCCCACACUAUCCUCCAGCUGCUCCAUUUCAGUGUCGUAGAUAAAGAGGAUAUGCGGCAGGACUCGGGCCAAUUCCGGUCUCACAGCUUCGCGUUGCAGCAGGGAGCCAAACAUCAAAGUCAGCCGGAGCAAGUGCAUCCAGCUGUGACAUUGUUCAAAGGCCUGCAGCAAAACUGUGGCCAGCUUCUGCUCCAGCAGCUGCAUUCGGCUGAAGAACAGGGUUUGCUCCCGUCGAAAGCAUUUCCAUUUGCUGGCCACCGUGGCGGUGAGAUCGAUGUCCACGUUGCUCCACUGCUCAAAGAGCACUUUAAACUCGCCGAAAAUCUAGGGUAGAAAAAUCGCACAUUAAACUUACACCCAAGCUCUGUGCUCACCUCUCUGACGCGUUCAGUCAGUAUUUUGCCCCGCAAUCCGCCCACUUCCAGCUUCUCCAGCUGCUGGAACUGCACCGCUGCCUCGAAAACCUGGCGCAGCUCCAACAGUUGGAGCGAAAAGCCGUCGAGUGUUUGGCCAAACACAUCCUCGUGGCAGAAGCGCCACAGCUGCUGCUGGUCAUCUGGCGAUGGAGAUGAAGCCACCGCAGCUGCUCCUUCGGAAAGAGCGGGCAGAAGGACCUGGCUGCCGGCAUAGCGUUCCUUGUAGUCCAACAUUCGUUGCCUGCGGAAGAUUAGUUGUACUAUAACUGUACUAUUACAUAUUUAUAACUAACUGCAACUAACUUUAAUG